UGCAAAUGAUUGCUUCAAUGUGAAUUAAAUGUGGCUGAAUUUGUUCAUAUGGAUUCUAAGUUCAGUAUCUACCUUGAUCCAUACUUAAGUGUGUGUGUGUGUGUGUGUGUGUGUGUGUAUUAGUCCCUCUACUGAAAUGACAAAAAAGCACUGCAA
Podarcis lilfordi (Lilford's wall lizard) is the source of this 156-nucleotide non-coding RNA. The record is from the annotation of a GenBank genome assembly. NCBI's taxonomy places the organism in Eukaryota, Metazoa, Chordata, Lepidosauria, Squamata, Lacertidae.